GCGUGCGUAGGCGGUUGUUUAAGUCAGAUGUGAAAGCCCUGGGCUUAACCUGGGAACUGCAUUUGAUACUGGGCAACUAGAGUUUAGUAGAGGGGAGUGGAAUUUCAGGUGUAGCGGUGAAAUGCGUAGAGAUCUGAAGGAACACCAGUGGCGAAGGCGGCUCCCUGGACUAAAACUGACGCUGAGGUACGAAAGCGUGGGUAGCAAACAGGAUUAGAUACCCUGGUAGUCCACGCCGUAAACGAUGUCAACUAACUGUUGGGUUCUUAAAGAACUUAGUAGUGGAGCUAACGUAUUAAGUUGACCGCCUGGGGAGUACGGCCGCAAGGCUAAAACUCAAAUGAAUUGACGGGGGCCCGCACAAGCGGUGGAGCAUGUGGUUUAAUUCGAUGCAACGCGAAGAACCUUACCUACCCUUGACAUCCAGAGAAUCUGUUAGAGAUAGCGGAGUGCCUUCGGGAGCUCUGAGACAGGUGCUGCAUGGCUGUCGUCAGCUCGUGUUGUGAAAUGUUGGGUUAAGUCCCGUAACGAGCGCAACCCUUAUCCUUAGUUGCCAGCGGGUCAUGCCGGGAACUCUAGGGAGACUGCCGGUGAUAAACCGGAGGAAGGUGGGGACGACGUCAAGUCAUCAUGGCCCUUAUG
This 642-nucleotide ribosomal RNA is filed under the name uncultured bacterium. RNAcentral describes it as "bacterial SSU rRNA". It matches the Rfam family "Bacterial small subunit ribosomal RNA", at positions 565 to 1206 of the family's 1533-position model. The record is from RNAcentral.